Molecule: transfer RNA, 75 nt
Filed under: Chloroflexota bacterium
Lineage: Bacteria; Bacillati; Chloroflexota
Description: Chloroflexi bacterium (marine metagenome) tRNA-Met
Rfam family: tRNA
About the family: Transfer RNA (tRNA) molecules are approximately 80 nucleotides in length.
Source: RNAcentral
CGCGGGGAAGGCAAUCGGAGAGCCACCGGACUCAUAACCCGGAGAUAGUCAGUUCGACUCUGGCCCCCGCUACCA